ACAGCGGGAGCUAUUACACAAUAUGAGGCGGGCUGGACCUCUCGGGGUUACAGCCUUGCUGAAUUAUUCACCCUUGUCUUUUGCGUACUUCUUGUUUCCUUGGUGGGUUCGCCCACCACUAGGACAAACAUAAACCUUUUGUAAUUGCAAUCAGCGUCAGUAACAAAUUAAUAAUUACAACUUUCAACAACGGAUCUCUUGGUUCUGGCAUCGAUGAAGAACGCAGCGAAAUGCGAUAAGUAGUGUGAAUUGCAGAAUUCAGUGAAUCAUCGAAUCUUUGAACGCACAUUGCGCCCUUUGGUAUUCCAAAGGGCAUGCCUGUUCGAGCGUCAUUUGUACCCUCAAGCUUUGCUUGGUGUUGGGCGUCUUGUCUCUAGCUUUGCUGGAGACUCGCCUUAAAGUAAUUGGCAGCCGGCCUACUGGUUUCGGAGCGCAGCACAAGUCGCACUCUCUAUCAGCAAAGGUCUAGCAUCCAUUAAGCCUUUUUUUCAACUUUUGACCUCGGAUCAGGUAGGGAUACCCGCUGAACUUAAGCAUAUCAAUAAGCGGAGGAAUAC
RNAcentral lists this ribosomal RNA (557 nucleotides) under Alternaria sp. OUCMBI101267. Its description in RNAcentral is "eukaryotic LSU rRNA". The stretch from base 179 to 332 matches the Rfam family "5.8S ribosomal RNA". The record is from RNAcentral. Lineage: Eukaryota; Fungi; Ascomycota; Dothideomycetes; Pleosporales; Pleosporaceae.